Molecule: non-coding RNA, 72 nt
Organism: Ornithorhynchus anatinus (platypus)
Lineage: Eukaryota; Metazoa; Chordata; Mammalia; Monotremata; Ornithorhynchidae
Source: Rfam
GGCAGCAUGGCACAGUGGAAAGAGCACGGCCUUAGGAGUCAGAGGACAUGGGUUCUAAUCCCGUCUCUGCCA